This 253-nucleotide ribosomal RNA is filed under the name uncultured bacterium. RNAcentral describes it as "partial 16S ribosomal RNA". It matches the Rfam family "Bacterial small subunit ribosomal RNA", at positions 524 to 776 of the family's 1533-position model. The record is from RNAcentral.
UACGUAGGGGGCAAGCGUUGUCCGGAAUCAUUGGGCGUAAAGAGCGUGUAGGCGGCUUGGUAAGUCCGCUGUGAAAGUCCAGGGCUCAACCCUGGAAAGCCGGUGGAAACUGUCAAGCUUGAGUCCGGAAGAGGCGAGUGGAAUUCCUGGUGUAGCGGUGAAAUGCGCAGAUAUCGGGAAGAACACCCGUGGCGAAGGCGGCUCUCUGGGACGGUACUGACGCUGAGACGCGAAAGCGUGGGGAGCGAACAGG